Ixodes scapularis (black-legged tick) is the source of this 153-nucleotide non-coding RNA. Lineage: Eukaryota; Metazoa; Arthropoda; Arachnida; Ixodida; Ixodidae. The record is from Rfam.
GACUCUAAGCAGUUCAUCACUCGGUUUUCGGAUCGAUGAAGAACGCAGCCAGCUGCGGGACUUGGUGUGAAUUGCAGGACACACUGAUCACUUACUUUUUUAAUGCACAUUGCGGGCUCGAGACUUUCCGUGGCUUCGUAUGUGUGAGGGUCG